RNAcentral lists this ribosomal RNA (253 nucleotides) under uncultured bacterium. RNAcentral describes it as "partial 16S ribosomal RNA". It matches the Rfam family "Bacterial small subunit ribosomal RNA", at positions 524 to 776 of the family's 1533-position model. The record is from RNAcentral.
CACGUAGGGCGCAAGCGUUGUCCGGAAUUAUUGGGCGUAAAGAGCUCGUAGGCGGUCUGUUGCGUCCGCUGUGAAAACUCGGGGCUUAACCCCGAGCCUGCAGUGGAUACGGGCAGACUAGAGGUAGGUAGGGGAGAAUGGAAUUCCCGGUGUAGCGGUGAAAUGCGCAGAUAUCGAGAGGAACACCUGCGGCGAAGGCGGGUUGCUGGGCUGACACUGACGCUGAUGCACGAAAGCGUGAGGAGCAAACAGG